GCGGGGUUGGUCGAGUGGUAAGAUGCAUCCUUCCCAUUCACACUCAAUAUUGGUGUUCGUGGAAACCGGAUGAGAUCGGCGGUUCAAACCCGUCACUUCGCA
This is a non-coding RNA of Gnomoniopsis smithogilvyi, 102 nucleotides long. The record is from the annotation of a GenBank genome assembly. Lineage: Eukaryota; Fungi; Ascomycota; Sordariomycetes; Diaporthales; Gnomoniaceae.